This 250-nucleotide unclassified non-coding RNA is filed under the name plant metagenome. Its description in RNAcentral is "partial contains small subunit ribosomal RNA, internal transcribed spacer 1, and 5.8S ribosomal RNA". The record is from RNAcentral.
GUUGGUGAACCAGCGGAGGGAUCAUUACUGAGUUCUACAAAACUCCCAACCCUUUGUGAACCUUACCGUCGUUGCCUCGGCGCUGAGCGGUAGCUACCUGGGAGAAGCUACCCUGGAGACACCUACCCUGUAGGUGGCUACCCUGGAGCUACCCUGUAGUUGCACUUUACGCUCCGCCGGAGGACCACACAAACUCUUCUGUUUUAUGGUGUAUCUCUGAAUCGUUAACUAAAUACGUUAAAACUUUCAA